AUGGAUCAAGUAGAGGUCAGCGAGGUGUUGGACAUCUGCUUUGCACUGGAAGGAGUAGAGAAGGCGAUGUUCUGGAAGCGAUGGGGGCAGUGGGCCGCGCCCGUGCAGGUGCCGUCACUGACGCUCCACCUUGAUAGCGCCGGUUGGGAGUUGCUGACGCUUCACCUGGACGGCAUGGGUUGGGAGUUGCUGACGCUCCACAUGGACGCGGCCAGCUGGGAGUUGCCGCGUGGGAAAUACGUGUUCGAGGACCACAUCAUGCUUGUCAUGUUCCUACUGCUAGACACAAUGGUCGGGGACCAGACCAUCAUCGGCAACUACCAAGAGAACACGCAAGUCGUCUAUGACCUCGACAUGGACGUGCUGCCCUUUGCACCAGCGCAGUUCGACAAGCUCAUAGCAUGA
Molecule: ribosomal RNA, 405 nt
Filed under: Triticum aestivum (bread wheat)
Lineage: Eukaryota; Viridiplantae; Streptophyta; Magnoliopsida; Poales; Poaceae
Description: partial small subunit ribosomal RNA
Source: RNAcentral